ACGAACGCUGGCGGCUGCUUAACACAUGCAAGUCGAACGGAGUGGCGAACGGGUGAGUAACGCGUGAGCAACCUGCCUAUGACAGUGGGAUAGCCUCGGGAAACCGGGCUUAAUCCCGCAUAGUCAUAGAUGGGCUCGCGUCUGAUUAGCUAGUUGGUGAGAUAACAGCCCAACAAGGCGACGAUCAGUCGCCGGUCGGAGAGGCUGAACGGCGACAUUGGAACGGAGAAACGGUCCAAACUCCUACGUGAGGCAGCAGUGGGGAAUAUUGCACAAUGGGGGAAACCCGGAUGCAGCGACGCCGCGUGAACGAAGAAGGUAGUCGUAUCGUAAAGUUCUGUCCUAUGGGAAGCAUUACCAUAGAAGAAAGCUCCGGCUAAAUACGUGCCAGCAGCCGCGGUAAUAC
This 406-nucleotide ribosomal RNA is filed under the name uncultured bacterium. Its description in RNAcentral is "partial 16S ribosomal RNA". It matches the Rfam family "Bacterial small subunit ribosomal RNA", at positions 29 to 526 of the family's 1533-position model. The record is from RNAcentral.